CUCGAAUUUCUAUAAGAGGUCCAGCCUGCCCAGUGACCAUGUUCAACGGCCGCGGUAUCCUAACCGUGCGAAGGUAGCGUAAUCACUUGUUCUUUAAAUGUGGACUAGUAUGAAUGGCAUCACGAAGGUUAUACUGUCUCCUUUUUCUAAUCAGUGAAACUAAUCUUCCCGUGAAGAAGCGGGAAUAACCCUAUAAGACGAGAAGACCCUAUGGAGCUUAAAACAAUAUAACAUUUGCUACACAACUUAUUGACUUCCCAAUACUUAACUUUAUAAGCAAUAUGUCUAUAAGUUUUUGGUUGGGGUGACCGCGGAGCAUAACACAACCUCCACAUUGAAAGAACUUUUUCUAAGCUGAGAUUUACAAAUCUAAGCAUCAGUAUUCUGACAUCCAUUGACCCAAUAUAUUGAACAACGAACCAAGUUACCCUAGGGAUAACAGCGCAAUCCACUUCAAGAGCUCCUAUCGACAAGUGGGUUUACGACCUCGAUGUUGGAUCAGGGUAUCCCAGUGGUGCAGCCGCUACUAAAGGUUCGUUUGUUCAACGAUUAAAACCCU
RNAcentral lists this ribosomal RNA (559 nucleotides) under Anaxyrus fowleri (Fowler's toad). RNAcentral describes it as "partial 16S ribosomal RNA". It matches the Rfam family "Bacterial large subunit ribosomal RNA", at positions 1834 to 2597 of the family's 2925-position model. The record is from RNAcentral. Lineage: Eukaryota; Metazoa; Chordata; Amphibia; Anura; Bufonidae.